RNAcentral lists this small nucleolar RNA (94 nucleotides) under Nomascus leucogenys (northern white-cheeked gibbon). Its description in RNAcentral is "Small nucleolar RNA U13". It matches the Rfam family "Small nucleolar RNA U13". The record is from Rfam by way of RNAcentral. Lineage: Eukaryota; Metazoa; Chordata; Mammalia; Primates; Hylobatidae.
AUCCUUUUGUAGUUGAUAAGUGUGAUGACUGGGUGUGAGAUGUGCCUUCCUUAAACCUUGUUACAAACCUUGUUAGCACAUUACCUGUCUAAUG